GUCGAGAAUCUUUCACAAUGGGGGCAACCCUGAUGGAGCGACGCCGCGUGGAGGAUAAGGUCUUCGGAUUGUAAACUCCUGUCAUGCGUGAACAAGGUUGCUUGGUUAAUACCUGGGCAAAUUGAUGGUAACGCAAGAGGAAGAGACGGCUAACUCUGUGCCAGCAGCCGCGGUAAUACAGAGGUCUCAAGCGUUGUUCGGAAUCACUGGGCGUAAAGGGUGCGUAGGUGGCGUGGUAAGUCAGAUGUGAAAGCCCGGGGCUCAACCUCGGAACUGCAUCCGAUACUGCCAUGCUAGAGUACUGGAGAGGUGACUAGAAUUCUCGGUGUAGCAGUGAAAUGCGUAGAUAUCGAGAGGAAUACCAAAGGCGUAGGCAGGUCACUGGACAGUUACUGACACUGAGGCACGAAGGCCAGGGGAGCGAACGGGAUUAGAUACCCUUGUAUUCC
RNAcentral lists this ribosomal RNA (449 nucleotides) under uncultured bacterium. Its description in RNAcentral is "partial 16S ribosomal RNA". It matches the Rfam family "Bacterial small subunit ribosomal RNA", at positions 354 to 796 of the family's 1533-position model. The record is from RNAcentral.